UGCGUAGGCGGUUAUCUAAGUCACGUGUGAAAUCUUCCGGCUCAACCGGAAAACUGCGCGUGAUACUGGAUGACUUGAGUGAGGUAGGGGUGUGUGGAACUUCCGGUGGAGCGGUGAAAUGUGUAGAGAUCGGAAGGAACGCCAGCAGCGAAAGCGGCACACUGGGCCUUUUCUGACGCUGAGGCACGAAAGCUAGGGGAGUGAACG
RNAcentral lists this ribosomal RNA (207 nucleotides) under uncultured bacterium. Its description in RNAcentral is "partial 16S ribosomal RNA". It matches the Rfam family "Bacterial small subunit ribosomal RNA", at positions 568 to 774 of the family's 1533-position model. The record is from RNAcentral.